Molecule: small nucleolar RNA, 99 nt
Filed under: Candida albicans
Lineage: Eukaryota; Fungi; Ascomycota; Pichiomycetes; Serinales; Debaryomycetaceae
Also listed under: 1 other name
Source: RNAcentral
GUGAUUUCAUUUGUUUUAAUGAUGACUCCGAGUGCAUUUGGCUCGAGACGUAAUGUCGAUGUGGAAAAACCCAAGCUACCUUUAUCUUUUUGUCUGACA